This 300-nucleotide ribosomal RNA is filed under the name Clostridium sp. MD294. Its description in RNAcentral is "partial 23S ribosomal RNA". It matches the Rfam family "Bacterial large subunit ribosomal RNA", at positions 2626 to 2925 of the family's 2925-position model. The record is from RNAcentral. Lineage: Bacteria; Bacillati; Bacillota; Clostridia; Eubacteriales; Clostridiaceae.
ACAGUUCGGUCCCUAUCCGUUGUGGGCGAAGGAUAUUUGAGAGGAGCUGUUCUUAGUACGAGAGGACCGGAAUGGACAUACCAAUGGUGUACCAGUUGCAUACCAAAUGCAUAGCUGGGUAGCUAAGUAUGGACUGGAUAAACGCUGAAGGCAUCUAAGCGUGAAGCCACCCUCAAGAUAAGAUAUCCCAAAACGCAAGUGAGUAAGGUCCCUUGAAGACAACAAGGUAGAUAGGUUGGAGGUGUAAGUGCAGCAAUGUAUUGAGCUGACCAAUACUAAUAGACCGAGGGCUUGACCUAG